Molecule: small nucleolar RNA, 74 nt
Organism: Grammomys surdaster
Lineage: Eukaryota; Metazoa; Chordata; Mammalia; Rodentia; Muridae
Product: small nucleolar RNA SNORD113/SNORD114 family
Exons: 1
Source: RefSeq, a predicted model, not a curated record
CGGGCCGAUGAUGACAAGGUUUCGGGAUUCUAAGUCGCAGACGAUGACUGAAUUUACAGAGAUCUGAGGUCCAC